This is a long non-coding RNA of Equus caballus (horse), 2916 nucleotides long. NCBI's taxonomy places the organism in Eukaryota, Metazoa, Chordata, Mammalia, Perissodactyla, Equidae. The record is from Ensembl.
GGUCUAACUAGCAGGUUUCAGUUCCCCUCAAGGUGACUUAGAUGGUCAAACAGUUGCACAUUUGUUGCGGCAAUCAGUCGUGUGACUGUUGCUGUGGCUUUUGCUAUGGUGGAGAAACCCUGUCUUGCAAACUCCUAGAUACUGGACCCAGGCAGAUGGCCAGCCUGUAGAGAUGCCAGAACAGCCCAGAUCUUCUCUGGGGCACAGGUGACGAGCCCCUUACUAGGAGUGCCCCAGAUCUGUUCCAAACUCUUGAAGCCCUCCAUCCAUUCUGAGCCCUCCACACACAAGGCGUACACUCCUAGGAAUGUGUGGGACCAACAAAUUUUCAGGGUUGUGCUACAGGAGCCUAGCAUUGUUCUGGCUUCUUUCUCACUCCCUGCAGUGGCGUGUGUAAACCUAAACACGCCUCCAAAUUCUAGCCGCAUCCUGUUACACUUUGAAAUUGAAAUAUAAUUUUCUACUUGAAAUAUUCUGCUUUUUCUAGAACUACAGAGAGCAGGGAUGACAGGUCUUUAAGCUCAUCAAAGGGAGAAUCAACAACGCCUGCAAGCAGAGUUUUCGGACAUGAUUGCCAACUCUUUACAGAAAAGACAGGCCUCAGGGAUAAGAAGCCGAAAACCAACUCGGAUAGCCAGCUACAAAAAAGGCACUCUGGAAUACUUGCAACUGGACACGACAGACCAGGAGAGCACCCAUUUUUAAACAUAAAUGAGGUCCAAGGACUCAGGCAAAUGAAGGACAGCUGCACUGAGGCAGUGGCCUCAACUGUCCUAAAAGCAUCGUUUCCCUGAGACCUCGGGGGACCAGAGGAAGACGUAGAUGCAUUGCACUUAGCCUUGGCUGCCCUGCCUGGAACAGAGACUCGCUCCUGUGAAUCAGAUGUGCACACUCAGUGCGAUAAUUCCCUUUCACUCUGGAAUCUGAUCUCAACGGUUGCUCCAGGGAGCUUCAACCCAGGAAAGAAGAGGAAAGAACGUACCAUGUCGAAGUUGAAGAGAUUUUGUCCUUAUUUGUUUUGUUUUUGUUUUGUUGUGUUUACUGGCUCUUUUUCAUUCUGUAUUCAUGAUAAGAUUUUUUAAAAUUGUCACAAUUGUAUUUUAAGUAGCUUAUCUCCAUUAAAUUAUAUUUAACUCAUAAUUUUUGCAGAAAAUAUGCUAUAUAUUAGGCAGAAAUAAAAGUUAGAGGUUUACUGAGUGUGUGUAUGUGUUUUCACCUAUUCCACCCAUUUUCCUGGAAUGCACCAGCCAUCAUUUUGUGCUCGCUGAAAAUCUGAUUAAAUUUCCCCAUACUGAAGCAAGGCAAAGCUAGCACUGUCACUCAGGGGUAGAACCUUCUGUAUUGCACGAGGGAAUUUUGUGUCUAGCCUUCUCCUGUGAGAGGCAGGGCCUGCAGCUGUCUUGGGUCUGGGAGAAAGUCAAAUUCUGUUUACCUGUAAGACACAGUACUUCAAACUCUUCAAAUAUCUCCUCCUGCCAUCCAGCAGCCAUCUCCUGCCCCUUCUUAGAUCAUCCCAGCAUGACUCAUUUGCUUGAAGUCUCUAGGAAAAUGACAAGUCAACUGGUGGUGAGUAGACUAGAAUCAACAAAGGCAAGAAUACACAUAUAGCACUUCUGACAUUAACCUUCCAAACUAGACCAACUGCCCCAAACACAUUGCUCCUCUCCAAGGCCACUGCCGUGAAAACCCCUCCAGAGAUUAAGAAACAUAUUGUGUCUUCUCCAUCACCUGGAAAACCAGAAAAUCAAAAAGUAGUAAAGUAUGUCCUGAUUUAUAGAUUGAGCACUUAACAUGCAGCAAGAGUCCUUACUUGGAAUCUGAAGGUUUAUAAUCUGUCUCUGCCUCGACGUCCAGCACAAGGAGACUUUCUGCAUGGGGAUGAGAUGGUGACAUGAACGUUCUUGGUCGUUCAUUCAGUAAACAUACAUUGAGCAUCUCCUCUUAUUCCAGGAACUGGAUUUGGUGUUUGAGGUAUAGAAACAUGGUCUCUGUCAAGUUUUGAAUCUUAUAGGAGAGAAAUGUAAAACGGUAAGUGGGUUUGGGAACCAGCAGCAUUCUUGACAACAUGCAAACAUAGCAACUCCAACACUGACUAGAAAAACUCAAAAUCAUCUUUAAUGUUAAUGGGGCAUUGAUGAAACAACUUCUCAAUUGAAGGCUCCAGGAUUUGUCUUCAAUUACAGAAUCAACAUGAUUGUGAAACAUUUAUUGACCUUUAAAUAGACGUGUGGCCUCAGCUUGCCCACUUAGCAAUGUGGACAUGUGAUCCCAGUGAUAACAGUGACUAAGAAUGAGACCCAGGCGAGGGUCAAAUUCCGGCACUGCUGUUUCCUAGCUAUAAAUUAGUUAAUGUCUCCAAGCCUCUGGUGUUUCAUCAGUAAAUCAUGAGUCACAAUAUCCACGUCAAAGAGUUGUUACAAAGAUUUUUUUUUAAAAGAAAUUUUUCAAGCACCAAGCAGAGUGUCAGUUACGCAGAAGUUCUCAACAAAUAUCCUCUAACCUUCAACUUUUCCCUUCUCUCUCCACCUGCUUUAUAAAUCAGAACUAAAAGAUUGCAAACCCAGGACUUCCAUGGGCACGAAGGAUACAUAAGAUGGCUUAUUUUUAACAAUUGAUUAUAGAAUUCUUCAAAUGUAAACAAAAGCAGAGGGACUAGCUCAUGAAUCCCCAUAAAGUCAUUACCAGUUUCAAGAAUGAUCAAUAUUUUCCCAACCUUGUUUCAUCUAUCUUCCACCAACCUUGUUUGUUUUGCCAGAUUAUUUUAAAGGAAAUUCCAAAUAUCAUGUCUUUCACCUUUGAAACCUCAACACAUCUUUUUAACACAGGAUUGACAAACUUUUUCUGUAAGGGCUGGAUAGUAAAUAUUUUAGGCUUUCGGAGUCAGGCUGUCUCUGUUGCAACUAUUCACCUCUGCUG